This is a long non-coding RNA of Eucalyptus grandis, 227 nucleotides long. RefSeq lists it as uncharacterized. Lineage: Eukaryota; Viridiplantae; Streptophyta; Magnoliopsida; Myrtales; Myrtaceae. The transcript has 3 exons. The record is from RefSeq and is a predicted model, not a curated record.
CUCAUGGCCGCCGGCGAGGGCGCCACGGCCGCCGCAACCACCACCACUAGCAGGGUUGGGCUGGGCCACCACAACGGCCUCGUCGCCAGAUCGUCAUGGAAUAAUGACCAGGUUGGCGCACACGAUCCAAAGGCUGUCAGCGACGAGAAUUGCAGCGCGAAUCCUAGUGAAGGCAACAAUUCGUGGUGGCGGAGCUCCACGGCGGCGGCGGAGAAAGGAAGAUGAAG